GACGUAGGGCGCGAGCGUUGUCCGGAUUUAUUGGGCGUAAAGAGCUCGUAGGCGGCUUGUCGCGUCGACCGUGAAAACUUGGGGCUCAACCCCAAGCCUGCGGUCGAUACGGGCAGGCUCGAGUUCGGUAGGGGAGACUGGAAUUCCUGGUGUAGCGGUGAAAUGCGCAGAUAUCAGGAGGAACACCGAUGGCGAAGGCAGGUCUCUGGGCAGUAACUGACGCUGAGGAGCGAAAGCGUGGGGAGCGAACAGG
This 253-nucleotide ribosomal RNA is filed under the name uncultured bacterium. Its description in RNAcentral is "partial 16S ribosomal RNA". It matches the Rfam family "Bacterial small subunit ribosomal RNA", at positions 524 to 776 of the family's 1533-position model. The record is from RNAcentral.